CAGAGUAGGGGACAGUGCGUUAAGUUCCGUAAGACGGGAAGUUGCUUACGGCCGAAAAGCCUUAGGGCUUGCGGUACUGUUUCCGCAUUCCGCUGC
RNAcentral lists this non-coding RNA (96 nucleotides) under human gut metagenome. RNAcentral describes it as "THF riboswitch". It matches the Rfam family "THF (Tetrahydrofolate) riboswitch aptamer". Rfam says of the family: THF riboswitch presents a pseudoknot that joins P1-P2 and the loop of P3 and two THF binding. The record is from RNAcentral.